GAUGAACGCUGGCGGCGUGCCUAAUACAUGCAAGUCGAGCGAACGGACGAGAAGCUUGCUUCUCUGAUGUUAGCGGCGGACGGGUGAGUAACACGUGGAUAACCUACCUAUAAGACUGGGAUAACUUCGGGAAACCGGAGCUAAUACCGGAUAAUAUUUUGAACCGCAUGGUUCAAAAGUGAAAGACGGUCUUGCUGUCACUUAUAGAUGGAUCCGCGCUGCAUUAGCUAGUUGGUAAGGUAACGGCUUACCAAGGCAACGAUGCAUAGCCGACCUGAGAGGGUGAUCGGCCACACUGGGACUGAGACACGGUCCAGACUCCUACGGGAGGCAGCAGUAGGGAAUCUUCCGCAAUGGGCGAAAGCCUGACGGAGCCACGCCGCGUGAGUGAUGAAGGUCUUCGGACCGUAAAACUCUGUUAUUAGGGAAGAACAUAUGUGUAAGUAACUGUGCACAUCUUGACGGUACCUAAUCAGAAAGCCACGGCUAACUACGUG
RNAcentral lists this ribosomal RNA (497 nucleotides) under uncultured bacterium. Its description in RNAcentral is "partial 16S ribosomal RNA". It matches the Rfam family "Bacterial small subunit ribosomal RNA", at positions 28 to 507 of the family's 1533-position model. The record is from RNAcentral.